AGGCAGGCUUUCUGGAAGGAUCUGUGGAACCUGAGAUACCAGACUUUUGUGCCGCCUACGGAUGCUCCAAUCGCCGAUGUCUCGAAACGAGAACCCGUGGGAUCACCUUUCACCCGUUUCCCAAAACCAGAGAGAGGAGGAGGACGUGGGAGGUUGCCCUAAGAAGGGACGGUUUUGUUGCUUCUGACAGGACGCUGCUCUGCAGUGAGGACUUCAGGAGUGGAGGGCAUUAGCCAAAUGUUACCACGGUUUUACAGAACUGAUCUUUGCACCACACUUUUGGUUUCCUGCGCUGUUUUACCGAUCAGCAUCAAACAUUGUUAUUUACAGACGUACAGCUAGGUACUAAAGCAACAUAUCUUUAGAAAGCUAAGAUUUUUCUGAUUUCACUGAUGUAAACCAUUUCAAGAUCCGAUCACCACAGCCGGUACAAUCAACGUCUCAGUCAGACCGGAAAUAGAAAAAAUAACGUUUACAAAGUCGAUGCGACUCACCUAAGAAUCACCAUUAUCAUAUCAUAUCAGCGUUUUAGGCGAAUAUCACCAGCCUCUUUAGAGGUUAGUAAAUAUUAUAGAUUUGUAUUGAUUUCCUCCAUCUGUAUACCUCCACAGUAGUCUAGUUCUCUCUAGAGAGGGUGGGAAUUUUCAUUUAUAUUUUAUUUAUAUUUGUAAAUGGAAAUCUUACACCUUUUUUUUACUGCAAAGAAAUGUC
Pleuronectes platessa (European plaice) is the source of this 711-nucleotide long non-coding RNA. RefSeq lists it as uncharacterized. The record is from RefSeq and is a predicted model, not a curated record. The transcript has 3 exons. Lineage: Eukaryota; Metazoa; Chordata; Actinopteri; Pleuronectiformes; Pleuronectidae.